This is a non-coding RNA of Pelobates cultripes (western spadefoot toad), 228 nucleotides long. Lineage: Eukaryota; Metazoa; Chordata; Amphibia; Anura; Pelobatidae. The record is from the annotation of a GenBank genome assembly.
UUAAGCUGUCCUUCAUGCAAGCUGCCAUUUUCUUCCUGGAGGUCUUUUUUGGCUCUUGGUGUUUCAUUUGCCAGAAGAUGCCUUAGUGAUUUAUUCUCGAGCAUGCGCAAGAUGCUUCAUAGAUUGUGUCUCGUGGCGAGCGUGGCUGAAUCCCACUGUUGUCACUCGUGACACUUGCUGGGAUUGGACAAAAACUGAUGGGGUAGCGCUGGCUCUUGUCAAACUCAG